RNAcentral lists this ribosomal RNA (465 nucleotides) under uncultured bacterium. RNAcentral's name for it is "partial 16S ribosomal RNA". It matches the Rfam family "Bacterial small subunit ribosomal RNA", at positions 28 to 507 of the family's 1533-position model. The record is from RNAcentral.
GACGAACGCUGGCGGCGUGCUUAACACAUGCAAGUCGAACGGAAAGGCCCUGCUUGCAGGGUCCUCGAGUGGCGAACGGGUGAGUAACCCGUGGGUGAUCUGCCCUGCACUUCGGGAUAAUCCUAGGAAACUGGGUCUACUACCGGAUAGGAGCCAUUUUUCGUGUGCUGGUUGGAAAGUUUUUUCGGUGUAGGAUGAGCUCUCGGCCUAUCAGCUUGUUGGUGGGGUAAUGGCCUACCAAGGCGGCGACGGGUAGCCCGCCUGAGAGGGUGGACGGGCACAUUGGGACUGAGAUACGGCCCAGACUCCUACGGGAGGCAGCAGUGGGGAAUAUUGAACAAGGGGAGCAAGCCUGAUGCAGCGACGCCGCGUGGGGGAGGACGGACUUCGGGUUGUAAACGCCUUUCGCUAGGGACGAAGCUGUUUGUGACGGUACCUAGAUAAGAAGCACCGGCUAACUACGUG